This 1451-nucleotide long non-coding RNA is filed under the name Serinus canaria (Common canary). RNAcentral's name for it is "lncRNA (ENSSCAG00000007580.1)". Lineage: Eukaryota; Metazoa; Chordata; Aves; Passeriformes; Fringillidae. The record is from RNAcentral.
UCCCUCUUGCCAGCGUGGAUGUCUGAGGACUUUCCCCACAUGGAGAACAGCACCGUGGUGAAGUCACUCCAGGACAAGGCUGAUUUCCCCAGUGCCAGCCUCCAGGAGCCCUUCCUGGCCGACCCUGCCCUCACCGACAUCCAGGAGGUGCCGGCGCAGGAGCGGACCCAGAGCCCGGGCACCGCGGCCAGGGCAGGGGUGGCCGAGCCCAGGGAGGUGCCAAGGAGCGUGGUGGCCCCCAGGACCGCUGUCCCAGGGUGGCUGGGUGCCUACAAACCCCAGCUCUCCGACGGGAAUGCUUUGGGCUACGUGGCCGCUGGGAUCUGCCCGGCGCAGCCAGAGCCGGGAAUCCUCUGCCAGGACUACAGCAGCCCCGUGCCCCAGCUGUGGGAGCUGCACGGGGGGACACCCCAGCUCUGCCUGCUCGACAAGAUCAACCUGGUGCUCAACAGCAGCCUGGAGUUCCCGGGGCAGGCGGGGCACGGAUCCAUCCCGGAGCAGCGCUGGGAGCCACCCGGAGACGGCCCCGAGCAGAUGCUGGUCCCCGAGGAGCUGCUGUCCUGCCUGAGAGCCACCAACAGGGACCCUGCCUCCCGCAGAGCAUGGCAGGGCUGCUCUGACAGCUGCUGGGAUUGGGGAUAAAGCCUGGAGCAGGGACCAACCAAGGCGGUGUCAGCACCGGGAUUGCCAAAGGGAGAGCCAGAGCAAAGCUCCCCGCUGGAAUUUUGCCCUCCUACUUCACUGCAGGUUCUUGUGGCUGCCUGGGAAUCCUGGGCCAGCAAAUCCCAAUUUUAGCCUUACCUCACGCUGGCAGAAGGGAAAAAAACCCAUAAAGCUUGGAUUCCUGGGAUGCCAAGCAGGAGAUUCCUGCAGGGUGAAAUAUCUUCAAUUACUGCUCAGCAUCGUCCUCUUGCUAAGGGUAUGGAGCACUUCAUUCCCAAGGAUUUGGACCAUUUCAUUCCCAAGGGUUUGGACCAUUUCAUUCCCAAGGGUUUGGACCAUUUCAUUCCCAAGGGUUUGGACCAUUUCAUUCCCAAAUGUUUGGAGCACUUCAUUCCCAAGGAUUUGGACCAUUUCAUUCCCAAGGGUUUGGACCAUUUCAUUCCCAAAUGUUUGGAGCAAUUCAUUCCCAAAUGUUUGGAGCACUUCAUUCCCAAGGGUUUGGAGCAUUUCAUUCCCAAAUGUUUGGAGCACUUCAUUCUCAAAUGUCUGGAGCACAUCAUUCCCAAAGGUUUGGAGCACUUCAUUCCUGGAGCUAAUUGCAGCUAAAAUGGAUAAAAAAAUCCCUCAGACAUCCUGGCAGAGAUGUGGGAAAUAUUUUGGGAUUGCUCCUGAUGAGCAGACACGGCAGCAAGGAGGAUUUCUGUGUCACAGUGGUACCAAGAACAUGGAAUAUUUCCUGUAUUUCACUUUCCUCCCAUUCCCAAUAAAAACCCACUCAGGUAAGAGCA